GAUGAACGCUGGCGGCGUGCCUAAUACAUGCAAGUCGAGCGAACAGACGAGGAGCUUGCUCCCCUGACGUUAGCGGCGGACGGGUGAGUAACACGUGGAUAACCUACCUAUAAGACUGGGAUAACUUCGGGAAACCGGAGCUAAUACCGGAUAAUAUAUUGAACCGCAUGGUUCAAUAGUGAAAGACGGUUUUGCUGUCACUUAUAGAUGGAUCCGCGCCGCAUUAGCUAGUUGGUAAGGUAACGGCUUACCAAGGCAACGAUGCGUAGCCGACCUGAGAGGGUGAUUGGCCACACUGGAACUGAGACACGGUCCAGACUCCUACGGGAGGCAGCAGUAGGGAAUCUUCCGCAAUGGGCGAAAGCUUGACGGAGCAACGCCGCGUGAGUGAUGAAGGUCUUCGGAUCGUAAAACUCUGUUAUUAGGGAAGAACAAAUGUGUAAGUAACUAUGCACGUCUUGACGGUACCUAAUCAGAAAGCCACGGCUAACUACGUG
Molecule: ribosomal RNA, 497 nt
Filed under: uncultured bacterium
Lineage: Bacteria
Description: partial 16S ribosomal RNA
Rfam family: Bacterial small subunit ribosomal RNA
Source: RNAcentral